Molecule: RNase P RNA, 373 nt
Filed under: Saprospiraceae bacterium
Lineage: Bacteria; Pseudomonadati; Bacteroidota; Saprospiria; Saprospirales; Saprospiraceae
Description: RNase P RNA component class A
Rfam family: Bacterial RNase P class A
About the family: Ribonuclease P (RNase P) is a ubiquitous endoribonuclease, found in archaea, bacteria and eukarya as well as chloroplasts and mitochondria. Its best characterised activity is the generation of mature 5'-ends of tRNAs by cleaving the 5'-leader elements of precursor-tRNAs.
Source: RNAcentral
CGGAUAUACCGCUCUGUCGCUUUCGGGAAGCCGGAAGAGGAAAGUCCGGACAACGUAGGGUACCACACCGUCUAACGGGCGGGAUCGUAUUUAUGUACGGUACAGCUUAGUGUCACAGAAAAUAACCGCCUUGAUUUCGGUCAGGGUAAGGGUGAAAAUGAGAGGUAAGAGCUCUCGUGGUGGUGCAGUGAUGUAUCAUCAGGACAAACCUUGUGGGUUGAAAUGCCAUGUAUAUUUUGAUUCCCUUUGGGGACAAAACUGACUCGGUUUUGUUGUCGUAAGACAUAUCAGGAGGGGUAGGCAGCUUAGAUAAAUGACAGAGAGCUCAUCUUUUGGUGAGUUACAGAAUCCGGCUUACAGGUAUAUCUUUUUA